This 1219-nucleotide long non-coding RNA is filed under the name Scleropages formosus (Asian bonytongue). Its description in RNAcentral is "lncRNA (ENSSFOG00015033361.1)". Lineage: Eukaryota; Metazoa; Chordata; Actinopteri; Osteoglossiformes; Osteoglossidae. The record is from RNAcentral.
GUGGACUGUAGAAUAUAAUACUGCAGUGCUGCUGGUCAAUGGUCUACUACUCUCAGAAAGGUGUAGCAGGAGACCCUGGGACCAGAGGGUUUGAAGGAAAGAAGGGAGACAUUGGUCCAAUGGGAAAUGUUGGACCACGUGGGUCUCCUGGUCAAGAUGGGUUACCAGGGCAACCUGGUGUACCUGGAUAUCCAGGGAAACCUGUAAGUAAACAAGUCACUUCUUCGAGAAGCUGAUCGCUCCACCCUCCAGAUGUUCAACUACAAAUUGUCAUCAUGUUUUGGCCUUUCAGGGAAAACCACCAUCAGAUGAGCACUUGAUGAAGCUUUGUAGUAAUGUGCUGCGCAAUCAGUUGCCUCAGCUGCUUCAGACUAUGGGGCCAAGGAGUUGCCAGCCUUGCGAAACAAUCAAUGGACCCCGUGGCGAACCUGGGCCUCCUGGUCCUAAAGGCCCAGCUGGACCCCCAGGGUAUCCUGGCAGAACUGGAUCCCAGGGUUACCCUGGCCCCCCAGGCAUCCAGGGGCCCCAAGGCAUAAAAGGAGAUACAGGACCUAGGGGGCUGAAGGGUUCCAAAGGCGAAUCCCACCCUGGAUUGCCUGGCCCUCCUGGACCAAUAGGUCCCCAGGGCCCUCGUGGCCAAGCUGGAGAGGGUCUUCCAGGGCCAGUUGGAAGCCCAGGAAACACCGGAGCACCUGGAAACCCAGGCAAACGGGGUCCCCCUGGCCCUGCUGGAGUGUGCGACAUGUCCUUAUGCUACCAGGCUUAUAGUACCAGGGAGAACCGCUUCAGCAAAGGGCCAAAUAUCUAGUGUAACAAGAGGAUUCGAGAAAAUUUCACCUCCUUAUGAAGAGGAACCCACUUGGUCAGAACUUAGUGGGGUACUGGAGGUUAUCUGCAGUGAAGAAAGGGAAGUUACUGAAACUCAAGAAGAAAUGAGUCAUUGUGAUCCAGUUAAUACUAUGUGAAAAAAAUGGGCUUGUUUUUUUUAAUGUAGUUACUGAACAAAAAGAAGAUUGUUUUAUGUGUGUAUAUAGUCAGUGCACUGCCUUAGUUGAGCUACCUCUGUGCUAAACUCAAGGCCAUUCAUAUUACAGUGGUUUACUGUACAUGCAGCAUGUAUUUCAGAUUACUUAGGAAAAAUCAUUUUCUUCAUUUGAGUAAACCAAGUGUAUUUUCCUCUUUCCUUUUUUACAUGGCGGCUUUCUUGUGCACGUUACAC